Molecule: ribosomal RNA, 466 nt
Filed under: uncultured bacterium
Lineage: Bacteria
Description: partial 16S ribosomal RNA
Rfam family: Bacterial small subunit ribosomal RNA
Source: RNAcentral
GACGAACGCUGGCGGCGUGCUUAACACAUGCAAGUCGAACGGAAAGGCCCUGCUUGCAGGGUACUCGAGUGGCGAACGGGUGAGUAACACGUGGGUGAUCUGCCCUGCACUUCGGGAUAAGCUUGGGAAACUGGGUCUAAUACCGGAUAGGAGCCAUCUUUAGUGUGGUGGUUGGAAAGUUUUUUCGGUGUAGGAUGAGCUCGCGGCCUAUCAGCUUGUUGGUGGGGUAAUGGCCUACCAAGGCGGCGACGGGUAGCCGGCCUGAGAGGGUGUACGGCCACAUUGGGACUGAGAUACGGCCCAGACCCCUACGGGAGGCAGCAGUGGGGAAUAUUGCACAAUGGGCGCAAGCCUGAUGCAGCGACGCCGCGUGGGGGAUGAAGGCCUUCGGGUUGUAAACUCCUUUCGCUAGGGACGAAGCUUUUUUGUGACGGUACCUAGAUAAGAAGCACCGGCUAACUACGUG